AUUGAACGCUGGCGGCAGGCCUAACACAUGCAAGUCGAGCGGAUGAAGGGAGCUUGCUCCUGGAUUCAGCGUCGGACGGGUGAGUAAUGCCUAGGAAUCUGCCUGGUAGUGGGGGAUAACGUCCGGAAACGGGCGCUGAUACCGCAUACGUCCUGAGGGAGCAGGUUGGUGGUCUUCGGACCUCACGCUAUCAGAUGAGCCUAGUUCGGAUUAGCUAGUUGGUGGGGUAAAGGCCUACCAAGCCGACGAUCCGUAACUGGUCUGAGAGGAUGAUCAGUCACACUGGAACUGAGACACGGUCCAGACUCCUACGGGAGGCAGCAGUGGGGAAUAUUGGACAAUGGGCGAAAGCCUGAUCCAGCCAUGCCGCGUGUGUGAAGAAGGUCUUCGGAUUGUAAAGCACUUUAAGUUGGGAGGAAGGGCAGUAAGUUAAUACCUUGCUGUUUUGACGUUACCAACAGAAUAAGCACCGGCUAACUUCGUG
This 484-nucleotide ribosomal RNA is filed under the name uncultured bacterium. RNAcentral describes it as "partial 16S ribosomal RNA". It matches the Rfam family "Bacterial small subunit ribosomal RNA", at positions 30 to 507 of the family's 1533-position model. The record is from RNAcentral.